This is an RNA transcript of Papaver somniferum (opium poppy), 4858 nucleotides long. RefSeq lists it as uncharacterized. NCBI's taxonomy places the organism in Eukaryota, Viridiplantae, Streptophyta, Magnoliopsida, Ranunculales, Papaveraceae. The transcript has 8 exons. The record is from RefSeq and is a predicted model, not a curated record.
CUCAAAAUUCAGAAAGUUGAGUGAAAAAUCACGUGUAAGAAUCAAUCCAUGUUUAACGCCCCAUCCAACUGUCCAGAAUCACUCAUUUCGUCUGUUAUCAAAACCAUUAAUCCGUCUGUUAUCAAAACCAUGAGUACCAGCAGCAAUUUAAUUCAUUCUGCGGCCUGAUAAUUGAGUUGUUUCCAAUAAUAUUCUCCCCUCCUAUGAUCUUCUUCAGAUACGAAUCAUACAUUGAUCUCCUCUUCAGUUACGAAUACAAAAAGAUUUUCUUUAAAGACUCAAUAAUAACUUCAAACGUUACAUGCAACAUCAUUCUUUCAAAAAUGUUCCUAUGUAUAAACCCUAGACGAGGUGAUCAUCUUUCCCAGUUUCAGUCGCAUUCUCUUUCAGCACUACUAGAUUUUGAUUGUUGGAUUCAGAAAAUCACCAGAGUUCGAAACAUCUUAGUUCAUACUCCCAUCACUUUUUUUCAAAUGGGUUCCCAGACUGUCAACAACCCUUCUAAAAUUCCCGCAUCCACCUACAAAACUUUCUCCCAUAUUGGCAAGGCCGAAGAAGGCACCAAAUGGAUGACUCGCGUUCGAAUCUCACGGAAGUGGAAUGAAUUAGAUUUCAUGGGUACCUACGAGGUCACCAGCCUGGAUGUCUUCAUGCUUGAUGACAAUCUUUACCAGAUUAUUAAUUGGGAUCAACACUGAUUCUAACAAGGUACCUUCCCUGAAAUGGAUCACCUACCACAAUAUGAGCUGAGAGUUGCAAAACUUUCCAAUGUGAGAUCUGCAGUUUAUCAGUUGCUCCUGCUGAUUUCGCCCUUCGAAGUCGUAUUUAUUCAAGCUUACAACAGACACAUUGAGCCUCUAUGACAACUUUCAAAUAAAGGAGGUCUUGGCCACAGUGAUGUGAAGACAUCGAGUCUCUAUGAUUGAUGUUGAAAGAGAUGAAAAGAGGAUUUGCAACCGAGAGCAGCAUGCACAACAAGAAUAUAGUCCUCAGCAUCGAGUAUCUGAAGAUUGUAGUUUGUGUUAACUAUCUAGGAUUCCUGCUCUGACAAUUCUCCUAAGAGAUCGUGGGCAGUUAUUGAAUGCUCAAAGGCUUCAACUUCGUCACCCUGAUUCCUUGCUUGAAGCUUUCCUUUAGAAUCCAGUUCCUGCUUUGGACUUUGUGGUAAGUCAGUAAGGUAAGUACAAUUCUGAAUUUUGCGAAAUUUUAUGUUUCUUAUUUUUUGGUUUCUUUCAGAUGCAUAUUUUUUGUGUAGCUCCAUCCAAGGUACUGAAAUCGUUGUUUGUUGUUGUAAUGUUUCCAGCAAUCCAUAGGUUUUUUUUUAAUAUUACACCAGAAGAUAUGGGAAUAAUAUGUACUUGGAGUAUGUUGAGCUCAUUGUGAACUGUAUAAUUUUGUCAACCCACCUGUUGGCAAAACUACAAUCUCAUUUGUGUUAAUCAGUCCAACUACCACCAAAUAUAGUUGUCCCCAAUGCUUCCAUGUUACUUUCUCCUCUGAACUAGCUUAAACAUUUGAAUUGUCCGCUAGCGACCAAGAGUCCCUCAAUUGCAGUCGAUAUAAGCGAUCGGAUUAUGUACUUCGCUUACGAAAGGAAGAGAUGGGUAUAUUGUAAAUGAUACAGCCCAAAGUCAAUACCGGAAUUUUCAUUAGAAAAUAGCCAAGCGACCUCUGGUGACAUUUUUGAUUAGAACUCAUAGGGUGAUUUGCAUGGUUAUAAUCAGAGACCAUAAAAUUUCUUCAGGGAUGAGCUUAAACAGAAAUACCCACUAGCUGUUUAGUCUUAAUAACCCACUUAGAGAAAACAAAACUCAAUGAAUCUGUGUUGGUACAGAAUAUAGCACUUAGUGUUAUUAGAUAUGUUUUGCUAUAAACUAAAUCUUAUUGAUCGGUUACAUGGAUAGCUCAAAGUGAUAUGCAACAUUUAUAAUAAUUUAUAUAAUGAAUAUGAAUAGAUUAUGUAUCUUUCUACAGUUCAAAGUAAUAUGAUCCAAGUGUGUAGCUUUUUUCGUUUUCGCAGUUCGUUAUAUUGUUAAAUAUUCUAUUUGUCCAGUUACUACAGUAUGAAAGUGCUUGGCCAUGAUUUUCUAUAAAUUUUUCUCUCUUUAGCUUAUAUUACUUGAGUUAGGUGACCAAUUUGAUAAUUAUGCCUAUGAUUUUGAUCCUUUUUUUCUUUUUAGUUCUGCUUUCUGUUGUUCGCAGGAUUGCAUUUUUAAGCCUGUCUUCCUAGAUAUUCUGAAGCAUUUUUGUGAUUUGCUAUUAACAACUCAUUUUAAUGUUUUUUAUUUUAUUUUGUGUGGUACUCAUUUUUAUGCUAAUACUAAUUUAGUUGUGUUAGUUACUAAGUUUAAUUGCAGCUAACUCAAAUGGUUCAAGUUAAAGUUGGAUUCAUUCACGAUACUCUACUAUUUCAAAUGAAUAGAGCAUAGAUAUGAAUAAAAUUCAGGAUACCGGUUGUCGAGUUAGUAUGAUGAGGGGCAAAAAUUUGAUGCUACUCCCCGUGGAGUAGCCUUUCUGCUCCUAUUACUAUGACACUUCUCUCUGAAAGAAAAUGAAGAACUUAAAAGUCAUCCUAAUAUUUCUUAUGGAACACAUUGCAGUGAAGAAUGCUUCAGCCGUCCUCCUUAUGGAUCAGUACCAUGUAAUUAGUGUUCUGUAUAGGCUAUCUACUGCAGGCUUUCCUUGCCUUUUCAUAUUGGGAAUCUAUUGUAUAUGCAUGUUGUAUAUUAUGUAGAUUUUUCUUCAUAAAGUUCUUUAGUUACAGUUGUAACUGCAGGCUUUCCUUACUGUAUCGUGGUAAUCAUUUAGAUCGUUCUGCCGCUCGUCAUUCCAACUGCAAUAACUCGGUAAAAACCAUUGGCGCUACAGGUAAGUUGAUUACAGUACGACAUUUUUUAUACUAGGGAACCUACUCUUUUUUUCUCGCUAUAGUAGCAAAUUUUUGGUCUGCACAAUUUUUGACCUUUUUUGGCAAUCAAAGUGCUAAGUUCACGGUUGAAGAUAAAGCGCAUCUGUGUACUUCUUUUUUUUUGCUAGGUUUUUUUUUUUGUGUACAAUUGUACAUGAAAACAUAUCGAUGUAAUCCUUGCACUAUCGCCCUAUACACUGAUUUCUGUAAAAAUUUAUUUAAAUUUUCUUCGUAUUUUAUAGUGUGAAGGUAAUAUGCACAAUAUGCACACCGGUUAUAAUAUUUCAGAACCACCAGAAUAAUUUGCAAAUUUGAUUAAAUAAUCCUGGGAUCAAAAGAGUAAGACCCAUAAUUUUCAGGGUCAUAAAAAUAAAUUUCUCAAUAAAAUUUUGUCUACAAUAUGUUCAGUUUGUACCUAGAAUGACAAGAGGUGCGAAUUAUAGGUGCCUCUAUUUCACGCAACGAACGAAACCCAAAUAUUUCCAUUUCUCAUAAAAUAUAGAAUCCCGGGAUAAAGAUGUUAUCCCACUCAAGCCCUCUCAUUCAUACCCAGCAAUCAAUUUUUCAUCGUACGCUUACAAAUGUUGGCCUACAUAAACCCUAACAGAGGUCAUCAUCCUCCCAUGUUUCCUACGCCUCCUCUCUCAAGAACACUAGUAUUCCAUUGUUGUAAGGUGAAAAAAGGUGCCAUCCAUCUCCCAUCCAUCUCAGUGAUCAUCUGUAGAAAAUGGGUUCCCAGAUUAGAGCCAGCAGUUCCAAACUCCCCGUAACAGCUGCAUACAAAGCUUUCUCGCAGAUAGGCGAGGCUGAAGAAGGAAAACCUUGGACCACACGCAUUAUAAAUUUAUCAUCAUUAAGAAGUGGAAUGAAUUGGAUUUCAUGAAGACCAACAAGGUCACAAGCCUGGAUAAUUCUAGAUGACAAUCAAUCAGGGUGAUGAACUUAAUGGGGUGGUUCCCAAGUAGCUAAUCUGGAACUUCGAUCCGUUACUUCAUGUUGAAAGAAUAUAUUCCCUAAGGAAGUUCACUAUUCUGGGAGAGAAAAAGAUAUUUCGCCCGGCUCACAAUGAACACCGCAUAUUCAUCAACUGGGAUGCAGAGGUGACUUAUCUAUGUGGCACUCAAUUUGAAAUUUCUCAUCACAAGUUCAGUUUUAUCCCUUUCAAAUAUCUGGAUUCACGUUCGGCUGACACUUGAUGUCGUGGGUGUGUUGAUAAGCCUCACAAAUUUUCAACACAUGAAGAGAGCCAACGGUCAGCCCUGUAUGAUGCACAACUGUACGCCUGUUGUAGGUAUACGAAAAACCUUCAAAUUCAGUGUCCUGUUGGCCAGGCCUGUCAAGUGCGUGAGCUCAAAGUUGAGAACCCUGGGUAUAAGUUCUUCUCCAUCACUGUCUGUUUCACCACAUCUGCACGUUGCACACAUGCAGUCACUAUACAAUGAAUUCAUGUGUUAGAAGUACCAAAUUGAGGAUUUUGAUGUGGAGUUCUUCUACAGAUCCUGUCGGCAAUUAUCCAAUUAGUACAGACUCCAACCAGUGCUGGUAGUGAUUGUUGUUUGCUCCACUUCUGUGAAGACCUUUCAAGGUAACUCACUUUCUCUUUUAAAUUAUGGUUAGAGAUUUCAUUGUAUAAGUUUUUAUACGAACCAUGUGGUGUUCGCUUCUAAUGUAACAAGUACAAUUGGAUAUAUGCUCACGAAAUACUAAAGAUGGCGGCUUAGCGCGUUUGAUUCCUUUAACCAAUUUGUCUAUGCCAUCUAUCAUCUCGGAUCACUAAUCUUUUCCUCAUAUUUGUGAACCAACUUGCUGAUGGAUUAAACGCACUUUUUGACUGCAUCGUAUAUUCCUAUGUUAACCAAUUUGUCCAAUUAUGUAACCUAUCUUGCCUAUCGGGGGAAGUAGAUACUCCUCGAGGAAGUUGCUAUACUUUUAAGUUGUUGUAGUUUUGUA